This 203-nucleotide ribosomal RNA is filed under the name uncultured bacterium. RNAcentral's name for it is "partial 16S ribosomal RNA". It matches the Rfam family "Bacterial small subunit ribosomal RNA", at positions 1298 to 1500 of the family's 1533-position model. The record is from RNAcentral.
UUGUAGUCUGCAACCCGACUACAUGAAGCUGGAAUCGCUAGUAAUCGCGAAUCAGAAUGUCGCGGUGAAUACGUUCCCGGGUCUUGUACACACCGCCCGUCACACCAUGGGAGUCGGAAAUGCCCGAAGCCGGUGACCCAACCAAAAGGAGGGAGCCGUCGAAGGCAGGUCUGAUAACUGGGGUGAAGUCGUAACAAGGUACC